RNAcentral lists this ribosomal RNA (384 nucleotides) under uncultured bacterium. Its description in RNAcentral is "bacterial SSU rRNA". It matches the Rfam family "Bacterial small subunit ribosomal RNA", at positions 30 to 408 of the family's 1533-position model. The record is from RNAcentral.
AGUGAACGCUGGCGGCAGGCCUAACACAUGCAAGUCGAACGGCAGCACGGCAGUAGCAAUACUGUGGGUGGCGAGUGGCGGACGGGUGAGGAAUACAUCGGGAUCUACCCUGUUGUGGGGGAUAACGUAGGGAAACUUACGCUAAUACCGCAUAAGAACUGAGGUUGAAAGCGGCGGACCGCAAGGCGUCGCGCGAUUGGAUGAACCGAUGUCCGAUUAGCUAGUUGGCGGGGUAAAGGCCCACCAAGGCGACGAUCGGUAGCUGGUCUGAGAGGACGACCAGCCACACUGGAACUGAGACACGGUCCAGACUCCUACGGGAGGCAGCAGUGGGGAAUAUUGGACAAUGGGCGCAAGCCUGAUCCAGCCAUGCCGCGUGGGGUG